AACCAGCACCUCAAGUGGUCAGGAUGAUUAUUGGGCCUAAAGCAUCCGUAGCCGGCUCUGUAAGUUUUCGGUUAAAUCUGUACGCUCAACGUACAGGCUGCCGGGAAUACUGCAGAACUAGGGAGUGGGAGAGGUAGACGGUACUCGGUAGGAAGUGGUAAAAUGCUUUGAUCUAUCGAUGACCACCUGUGGCGAAGGCGGCUACCUGGACAGAUACUGACGCUGAGGUGCGAAAGCGUGGGGAGCAAACAGG
This 253-nucleotide ribosomal RNA is filed under the name uncultured archaeon. RNAcentral describes it as "partial 16S ribosomal RNA". It matches the Rfam family "Archaeal small subunit ribosomal RNA", at positions 474 to 727 of the family's 1478-position model. The record is from RNAcentral.